GACGAACGCUGGCGGCGUGCUUAACACAUGCAAGUCGAACGGAAAGGCCCUGCUUUUGUGGGGUGCUCGAGUGGCGAACGUGUGAGUAACACGUGAGUAACCUGCCCUUGACUUUGGGAUAACUUCAGGAAACUUGGGCUAAUACCGGAUAUGAUCUCCUGCUGCAUGGUGGGGUUUGGAAAGUUUCGGCGGUUGGGGAUGGACUCGCGGCUUAUCAGCUUGUUGGUGGGGUAGUGGCUUACCAAGGCUUUGACGGGUAGCCGGCCUGAGAGGGUGACCGGCAACAUUGGGACUGAGAUACGGCCCAGACUACAACGGGAGGCAGCAGUGGGGAAUAUUGCACAAUGGGAGGAAGCCUGAGGCAGAAACGCCGCGUGCGGGAUGACGGCCUUCGGGUUGUAAAAAGAUGUAGAAUGUGACGAAGCGUGAGUGACGGUAAUGGGUAAAGAAGCACCGGCUAACUACGUG
This 468-nucleotide ribosomal RNA is filed under the name uncultured bacterium. RNAcentral describes it as "partial 16S ribosomal RNA". It matches the Rfam family "Bacterial small subunit ribosomal RNA", at positions 28 to 507 of the family's 1533-position model. The record is from RNAcentral.